Molecule: long non-coding RNA, 1063 nt
Filed under: Chrysemys picta bellii (western painted turtle)
Lineage: Eukaryota; Metazoa; Chordata; Testudines; Emydidae
Description: lncRNA (ENSCPBG00000015269.1)
Source: RNAcentral
CAGGCCCAAUGACUGUCUAUCUAUCUAAUCUAUCUAUCUAUCUAUCUAGCUAUCCUGAUAGACCCCCCCUCUAUCUAUCCCCAUACACCCCCUCUACCGAUUGACACCAGCAGGGAUCUGGCUAUAUUUUACAUAUCCUUCUGGGUAAUCCCAGAGCAGAGCAAGCGAGUGGAAGACACUAGUCCAGUCCCAGCUCUGAUGGGAAGCCAGGCCCUGCUGCUCCAUGGGAUGGUGCAUGAUGCCCCCUAGUGGUCACUGAUGGAAUAAUCUGGGCCAUGGGGAGGGCUCUUUCCUACCUCCUCAUUCAGAGAUUGAUGGGCUCAGAAACAGGCAAGCCUGUGUCCCUUUUACACCCCUCUCUCUAAUGAGGCUGUAGAUCAUCUCAUUGUCUGUCCGAAUAGCCAAUCAUGUCUGAAUCCUGGUGCUGGCAGUUUCCAAUGACAGGGAGUGCUGCAGGUUAACGCCAUCUCAACAGAAAAAACUUAUCAUUUAUCCUCUUUAAAUCUAAGGUUUUAAAGGGGCAGCUCCACAGGGUUAAGGGGUCAUCCACAUUAUCCAUGGUGGGUGGGUCUCUGUUGAUCCUAGAGGGCUCUCUCGCUUUCCCCCCACCCUCUCGGUGGGAUGGUUAACUGUAGCACCGAUGUAACCCAGAUCCAUACCAGUGUGUGUCUGUCACCCCCUCUAGUGGCUGGAUCCUGUAAAGUGGUUUAGGGAGCUGUGAUGCCACACACAGCUAUAGAUACGUCUCCUUUAAUUCCAAUGGUGCGUUAAACACUUGUGUGUUUCCAAGGUUCAGUCCUGGUGUCCGGUAUCUUUCCAACAACUGCUCUGUCCAGGAAGCAGAGCUGCCCUGGCAUCCCCAGGCGAGGUGUGUGUGUGUGUGUGGGGGGACUGCUUUAACCCUUUAGGGUCUCCAGCCCUGGUUGGUGGGUCCUGCCACAAAAAAAUAUUUAUGAUUAAAAAAAAUCAGUUUUUUCAGCUGAACAUUUUUCAGUCUUAUGACAAAAAAUUUGGAAUAUUUUAAGAAAUCCCCCCUUCCCCCCCAGUAAACAAACCCCAUUUU